RNAcentral lists this ribosomal RNA (1419 nucleotides) under metagenome. RNAcentral's name for it is "bacterial SSU rRNA". It matches the Rfam family "Bacterial small subunit ribosomal RNA". The record is from RNAcentral.
AGAGUUUGAUUCUGGCUCAGAACGAACGCUGGCGGCAGGCUUAACACAUGCAAGUCGAACGCCCCGCAAGGGGAGCGGCAGACGGGUGAGUAACGCGUGGGAAUGUACCCCAAGGUUCGGAACAACGCCGGGAAACUGGCGCUAAUACCGGAUGUGACCGAGAGGUGAAAGAUUUAUCGCCUUGGGAUCAGCCCGCGUUAGAUUAGCUAGUUGGUGGGGUAAUGGCCUACCAAGGCGACGAUCUAUAGCUGGUCUGAGAGGAUGAUCAGCCACACUGGGACUGAGACACGGCCCAGACUCCUACGGGAGGCAGCAGUGGGGAAUCUUGGACAAUGGGCGCAAGCCUGAUCCAGCCAUGCCGCGUGAAUGAUGAAGGCCUUAGGGUUGUAAAAUUCUUUCGUCGGGGACGAUAAUGACGGUACCCGAAGAAGAAGCCCCGGCUAACUUCGUGCCAGCAGCCGGUAAUACGAAGGGGGCUAGCGUUGUUCGGAAUUACUGGGCGUAAAGCGCGUGUAGGCGGAUUUUUAAGUCGGGGGUGAAAGCCCAGAGCUCAACUCUGGAACUGCCUUCGAUACUGGGAAUCUGGAGCAAGAUAGAGGCGGGUGGAAUUGCGAGUGUAGAGGUGAAAUUCGUAGAUAUUCGCAGGAACACCAGUGGCGAAGGCGACUCGCUGGAUCUUUGCUGACGCUGAGACGCGAAAGCGUGGGUAGCAAACAGGAUUAGAUACCCUGGUAGUCCACGCCGUAAACGAUGAGAGCUAGUUGUCGGCACGCAUGCGUGUCGGUGACGCAGCUAACGCAUUAAGCUCUCCGCCUGGGGAGUACGGCCGCAAGGUUAAAACUCAAAGAAAUUGACGGGGGCCCGCACAAGCGGUGGAGCAUGUGGUUUAAUUCGAAGCGACGCGCAGAACCUUACCCACGCUUGACAUGUCUCGUAUGAUUUCCAGAGAUGGAUUUCUUCAGUUCGGCUGGCGAGAACACAGGUGCUGCAUGGCUGUCGUCAGCUCGUGUCGUGAGAUGUUGGGUUAAGUCCCGCAACGAGCGCAACCCUCGCCUUUAGUUGCCAUCAUUUAGUUGGGCACUCUAAAGGAACUGCCGGUGGCAAGCCGGAGGAAGGUGGGGAUGACGUCAAGUCCUCAUGGCCCUUACGCGUGGGGCUACACACGUGCUACAAUGGCGGUGACAGAGGGUUAAUCCCUAAAAGCCGUCUCAGUUCGGAUUGUCCUCUGCAACUCGAGGGCAUGAAGUUGGAAUCGCUAGUAAUCGCGGAUCAGCAUGCCGCGGUGAAUACGUUCCCGGGCCUUGUACACACCGCCCGUCACACCAUGGGAGUUGGUUUUACCUUAAGACGGUGCGCUAACCGCAAGGAGGCAGCCGGCCACGGUAAGGUCAGCGACUGGGGUGAAGUCGAAACAAGGUA